UUAACUUGCUUGGUGCCUUUGUGAUAGUUCUCCAAGGUAAUCCAAAUUUGAUGAGCUGUAGUGCAAUAUUGCACUCUCCCACACUCUUUUCUAGAUAGGCAACUCACAAAAAUAGUCAUUGCUUGCUUGUUCUUGUGAUUAUGCUUCUUGUGAGCAUCCAUUCAUUCUUCUCUAGGGAGAAUCCUUUCUUCACCAUUUU
This 199-nucleotide long non-coding RNA is filed under the name Ricinus communis (castor bean). RNAcentral's name for it is "long non-coding RNA (RCOM_LNC000652)". The record is from RNAcentral. Lineage: Eukaryota; Viridiplantae; Streptophyta; Magnoliopsida; Malpighiales; Euphorbiaceae.